RNAcentral lists this non-coding RNA (45 nucleotides) under Schistosoma mansoni. The record is from RNAcentral. Lineage: Eukaryota; Metazoa; Platyhelminthes; Trematoda; Strigeidida; Schistosomatidae.
AUCCAACUGACGAGUCCCAAAUAGGACGAAACAUGCCCCCUGGAU